Molecule: ribosomal RNA, 459 nt
Filed under: uncultured bacterium
Lineage: Bacteria
Description: partial 16S ribosomal RNA
Rfam family: Bacterial small subunit ribosomal RNA
Source: RNAcentral
CCUACGGGCGGCAGCAGUGAGGAAUAUUGGUCAAUGGCCGGAAGGCUGAACCAGCCAUGCCGCGUGAAGGUCAGUGCCCUAUGGGCGUUAAACUUCUUUUGUGCGGGAGCAAUAAUGGGCACGUGUGGCCAGACGAAAGUACCGUACGAAAAAGGAUAGGCCAAAUCUGUGCCAGCAGCCGCGGUGAUAAGGAGGAUCUGAGCGUUAUCCGGAUUUAUUGGGUUUAAAGGGUGCGUAGGCGGGUUGAUAAGGGAGAGGUGAAAUGUCGGGGCUCAACCCCGAAACUGACUCUAAUACUGUUGGACUAGAGAAUAGUUGCGGUAGGCGGAAUGUAUGGUGUAGCGGUGAAAUGCUUAGAGAUCAUACAGAACACCGAUUGCGAAGGCAGCUUACCAAACUAUAUCUGACGUUGAGGCACGAAAGCGUGGGUAGCAAACAGGAUUAGAUACCCCAGUAGUC